RNAcentral lists this ribosomal RNA (301 nucleotides) under uncultured bacterium. RNAcentral describes it as "partial 16S ribosomal RNA". It matches the Rfam family "Bacterial small subunit ribosomal RNA", at positions 509 to 807 of the family's 1533-position model. The record is from RNAcentral.
CAGCCGCCGCGGGAAUACGUAGGUGGCAAGCGUUGUCCGGAAUUAUUGGGCGUGAAGGGCUCGCAGGCGGUUUCUUAAGUCUGAUGUGAAAGCCCCCGGCUCAACCGGGGAGGGUCAUUGGAAGCUGGGAAACUUGAGUGCAGAAGAGGAGAGUGGAAUUCCACGUGUAGCGGUGAAAUGCGUAGAGAUGUGGAGGAACACCAGUGGCGAAGGCGACUCUCUGGUCUGUAACUGACGCUGAGGAGCGAAAGCGUGGGGAGCGAACAGGAUUAGAUACCCCAGUAGUCCCUGUCUCUUAUAC